RNAcentral lists this non-coding RNA (227 nucleotides) under Pontibacillus marinus. RNAcentral describes it as "T-box sequence". It matches the Rfam family "T-box leader". Rfam says of the family: Uncharged tRNA acts as the effector for transcription antitermination of genes in the T-box leader family. The record is from RNAcentral. Lineage: Bacteria; Bacillati; Bacillota; Bacilli; Caryophanales; Bacillaceae.
GCAAACGUGAUGAUAGGAAUUAGUAACAAUGGUCUUCUUCUCAAGAGAGCCGAUGGUUGGUGUGAAUCGGUGAAGAAGCCUUGUGAAUCCAUCCUUGAGCUGAUCGAUUGAAACCUAUAGUAGGUCGAUCCGGUGCUAGCGCAUCGUUACUCUUGAAGUGAGCCGGAAGGACAUUUGUGCCUUCAACCAGGGUGGCAUCGCGGGAAUAUAUAACUCUCGUCCCUAUU